RNAcentral lists this ribosomal RNA (1551 nucleotides) under Campylobacter jejuni. RNAcentral describes it as "partial 23S ribosomal RNA". It matches the Rfam family "Bacterial large subunit ribosomal RNA", at positions 1382 to 2925 of the family's 2925-position model. The record is from RNAcentral. Lineage: Bacteria; Pseudomonadati; Campylobacterota; Epsilonproteobacteria; Campylobacterales; Campylobacteraceae.
AGUCGGGUCCUAAGUCGAGUCCGAAAGGGGUAGACGAUGGCAAAUUGGUUAAUAUUCCAAUACCAACAUUAGUGUGCGAUGGAAGGACGCUUAGGGCUAAGGGGGCUAGCGGAUGGAAGUGCUAGUCUAAGGUCGUAGGAGGUUGUACAGGCAAAUCCGUAUAACAAUACUCCGAGAACUGAAAGGCUUUUUGAAGUCUUCGGAUGGAUAGAAGAACCCCUGAUGCCGUCGAGCCAAGAAAAGUUUCUAAGUUUAGCUAAUGUUGCCCGUACCGUAAACCGACACAGGUGGGUGGGAUGAGUAUUCUAAGGCGCGUGGAAGAACUCUCUUUAAGGAACUCUGCAAAAUAGCACCGUAUCUUCGGUAUAAGGUGUGGUUAGCUUUGUAUUAGGAUUUACUCCGAAAGCAAGGAAACUUACAACAAAGAGUCCCUCCCGACUGUUUACCAAAAACACAGCACUCUGCUAACUCGUAAGAGGAUGUAUAGGGUGUGACGCCUGCCCGGUGCUCGAAGGUUAAUUGAUGGGGUUAGCAUUAGCGAAGCUCUUGAUCGAAGCCCGAGUAAACGGCGGCCGUAACUAUAACGGUCCUAAGGUAGCGAAAUUCCUUGUCGGUUAAAUACCGACCUGCAUGAAUGGCGUAACGAGAUGGGAGCUGUCUCAAAGAGGGAUCCAGUGAAAUUGUAGUGGAGGUGAAAAUUCCUCCUACCCGCGGCAAGACGGAAAGACCCCGUGGACCUUUACUACAGCUUGACACUGCUACUUGGAUAAGAAUGUGCAGGAUAGGUGGGAGGCUUUGAGUAUAUGACGCCAGUUGUAUAUGAGCCAUUGUUGAGAUACCACUCUUUCUUAUUUGGGUAGCUAACCAGCUUGAGUUAUCCUCAAGUGGGACAAUGUCUGGUGGGUAGUUUGACUGGGGCGGUCGCCUCCCAAAUAAUAACGGAGGCUUACAAAGGUUGGCUCAGAACGGUUGGAAAUCGUUCGUAGAGUAUAAAGGUAUAAGCCAGCUUAACUGCAAGACAUACAAGUCAAGCAGAGACGAAAGUCGGUCUUAGUGAUCCGGUGGUUCUGUGUGGAAGGGCCAUCGCUCAAAGGAUAAAAGGUACCCCGGGGAUAACAGGCUGAUCUCCCCCAAGAGCUCACAUCGACGGGGAGGUUUGGCACCUCGAUGUCGGCUCAUCGCAUCCUGGGGCUGGAGCAGGUCCCAAGGGUAUGGCUGUUCGCCAUUUAAAGCGGUACGCGAGCUGGGUUCAGAACGUCGUGAGACAGUUCGGUCCCUAUCUGCCGUGGGCGUAAGAAGAUUGAAGAGAUUUGACCCUAGUACGAGAGGACCGGGUUGAACAAACCACUGGUGUAGCUGUUGUUCUGCCAAGAGCAUCGCAGCGUAGCUAAGUUUGGAAAGGAUAAACGCUGAAAGCAUCUAAGCGUGAAGCCAACUCUAAGAUGAAUCUUCUCUAAGCUCUCUAGAAGACUACUAGUUUGAUAGGCUGGGUGUGUAAUGGAUGAAAGUCCUUUAGCUGACCAGUACUAAUAGAGCGUUUGGCUUAUCUUU